Molecule: ribosomal RNA, 255 nt
Filed under: uncultured bacterium
Lineage: Bacteria
Description: partial 16S ribosomal RNA
Rfam family: Bacterial small subunit ribosomal RNA
Source: RNAcentral
CAGCAAAACCGUAGAGGUGGAGCAAAUCUCCAAAAAACGUACUCAGUUCGGAUUGUAGGCUGCAACCCGCCUACAUGAAGUCGGAAUUGCUAGUAAUCGUGGAUCAGCAUGCCACGGUGAAUACGUUCCCGGGCCUUGUACACACCGCCCGUCAAACCAUGAGAGUUGGCAACACCCGAAGUCGGUAGUCUAACCGCAAGGAGGACGCCGCCGAAGGUGGGGUUGAUGAUUAGGGUUAAGUCGUAACAAGGUAAC